This 60-nucleotide transfer RNA is filed under the name Ricinus sp. ADS-2020. Its description in RNAcentral is "tRNA-Pro". The record is from RNAcentral. Lineage: Eukaryota; Metazoa; Arthropoda; Insecta; Psocodea; Ricinidae.
CAAGAAAUAAUUUAUUUUAAAAUAUUAAAUUUGGAGUUUAAAAAAGUUUUUCUUUCUUGA